GUGAGAGAGUUGUGGGGAGAGCAGAUAAGCCAACAGACAGGGCAGAGCCAGGAGGGAACCUCCUUCCGAAUGGACAGACUCCCCAUCUGCAGCAAGCCUGGAGCUGGCAAGGGGCAAACCUUCAUGUUAAACGAAGGUCAAGGUUUUGACCAUGACACAGGGUCUGGCGUUUGGAUUAUAGGUGGGAGGACUUUGUAUCUGGUCAUUUAAGAUGACCAGAAAGUCAUGGGGCCUGUUUUAAGUUAUCAUCCAGGCUAAAAAAAUAGUCCCACUGAAUAAAUUUAAACAGAAGGUGGGAGACAAAAAUAACGACUUUAUGAGUACAUCUCGAGCUGUGCCUGUUCACUGUGAUAUUUACACAAAUAAAUAAAACUACAGAGGUACUGAGAGGGCCAAUAAAAAUUUAAAAGGAUUUAUGUGAUAAAGUGAUAGAGAAACUGCUUUAGCCAGGGUAGAAGGGGAGACCCGUUGAGGAGGUGACAUUGGAAUUGAGGCUUCAAUUAUGAGAGGGAGCUGGCUGUGUGAAGGUCCAGGGAAGGGUGAUCCAAGCAGAGGGAACAGUUUGUGCAAAAAUCCUGAGGCAGGAGCAAGCUUGCAGCAGGAUAUGGAAAGUGAGAGGAGGAUGGGAGAAGCUGAGGUGGAAGGAGAGGCUGGAAAAGAGCACCAGGCGGGGUCAGAAAGGGGGACUGUAUUUCAAGUGUGAUGAGAAUUCAUUAGACAACUUUUAGCAGGGAAAGAACUUCUGAUUCAUCCUUUAGAAAGGUCAGCUGGCUGCUAUUAGAAUGGGCAGGAGACAAGGGCAAGAUUGGGGCUGCCGGGAGUGCAGCUUGUCCAGAACAGGAUAGAGAUGAUAGUGUCUUGGACUAUGGUGGUUGCAUGGAGGAGGUGAGAAACAUCAGGUUUAGACUAUAAUUUGGAAGCAUAAAGCUCCAUGUGUGAUGUGAGAGGGUUAAAGAUGAGGAUUAAGGAGAGUUCUGUGGUUUUUGACCCAUGCCACUGAAUGGAUGUUGGUGCCAUUUCCAAGAUGAGAGAGAGUUGGGAGGAAGCAGAUUUAUAUUGGGGAGGGGAGUGUAUUAGUCUGUUUUCACGCUGCUGAUAAAGACAUACCUAAGACUGGGUAAUUUAUAAAAGAAAGAGGUUUAAUUCACUCACAGUUCCACGUGGCUGGGGAUACCUCAUAAUCAUGGCAGAAGACGAAGGAAGAGCAAAGGGAUAUCUUACAUGGUGGCUGGCAAAGAGAGAAAUGUGAGCCAAGCGAAAGUGGAAACCCCUUAUAAAUCAGAUCUCAUGAGACGUAUUCACUACCACAAGAACAGUAUGGGGAAAACCGUCCUCAUGAUUCAGUCAUCUCCCACCAGGUCCCUCCUGCAAGAUGUGGGAAUUAUGGGAGCUACAAUUCAAGAUGAGAUUUGGGUGGGGACACAGCCAAACCAUAUCAGGGAGUCAACAAUUCUCUUUUCACUGAGUAGUAUGCCCAGGCAGUCCAUUACUAGAUAAUGGGGAGGCCAAGAAUUAAGGCUGUGGUGUCAAACAAUUUGGGCUUCAUUGUGUGACCUUGGCCACAUCAAUUAACCACUUUGAGACCAGUUUUCUCCACUACAAAAUGGGAGUAAAAAUAACAGUACCUAUGUUCCAGGUUUGUUGUGGGGAGGGAAAGCUCUGCAAUGGGCCUGGCACACAGUAAGGGCACAAGAAAUGAAAGCAGUUAUUGGCUCUUUAUUUGCAAGGGCCAUACUUAUGAGUGCUGCUCUGUGUUGAGUGGAAAACUGCACUUAGGACAGUUUCAUUUUUGUCUGCCAUACUUCUCCUGAAACCUUCAGAUCCUGGAGUCAACUGGCAAGAAAACCAGCUCCAGCCAGGAUCCCUCACUAACAUUCCUAUGGAUAUCCUACCUGCCCUGCACUGGCAAUGUUCAUCUUGAUCACCUGGCCAAGAUAUUGUCGGAUUUCUUCACUGUGUAAUUAUUAUUUGAUACGGGUUGGAUCUGUGUCCCCACCCAAGUCUCAUGUUCAGCUGUAGUCCCCAGUGUUGGAGAGCACGGGCUCCCCAAAGGCCAGGAACGAGUCUGGUUUCUGGAACAGCACUGUCUCCUCAGCACCUAGACCUGGGCACAUAGCAGACAACCAAGGAAUGCCCAUCAACGAGAGGAGGCCUCACCUCAUGGCGGCCAUGUGGGGCAGGAAUGACUGUAAUCCCCCCUAACCAAUGGAACAGCUAAGACUCAGAGAGGGAUUUCUCUCCAGCAAUUUCACACCCGUAUGAAAGUGUCUUGUACACAUCCCCCUACCCCCAAAUCAUCAUUCAACAGGUUAUCAUUGUGUCCAGCCUUGUGUGAGGGGCAUAAGCCUCCGUCGUUGCUCUGGGACCUCGUUGCUGACCCUGGAUGACAGACCACUGCCUAGGAUGAAAUUCCCCUCUGGAUGGAUGGCUUCUGGUUUGGUGAUGGAAUGGAUUCCAGGGCCUCUGAGGAAGGCAGGAAGCCUUGGGACUUGGCAAUCUCCACAGGAGAUGGGGUGUGUGCUAGGUGAGGCCCCCAUCACCAGGAGCAAGGCCUGGUCCACCCUGAGACCCAGCGCCCACUUACUGUCCAUGCCUUCACCUUGCUAAGUUAGUGUGUGGUCCACUUGCUAAGAGAAACAACAGGUAUUAAGGGUUUAAGAAAAAAUGAAACCCAAAACAAGCUCUGAAGUUCUGUAGACCUUGGCCAACUCUCAGCACAGCCACUUACUUGCUAGCUAAUCUUGAGCACGUCCCUUAACUUCUCUAACCUUUUUCCUCCAUUCGUAAAACUGGGAAAAUUUGCAUCUUUUUCGUGCAUUCGUUUUGAGAAAUAGAUGGAUAUGUGUGUGCCUGUCAGCUCGACGCUGGGUGCAGAGUGAGUGCGCUAAGCACGGUGGCUUCCUUGACUGUAGAGAUGCAUCCUAGCUCCUGCCUGGUCUGUCCCAGGUGGACAGAGGUGAUGGCAUCUGGAGGGGUCCCACCUCCAAUGUCUUAAUCCAGGGCCUUUCUGUGGCAUAGUGCUGAGCCAGCGUACUGAAAGGCCACAGAGAGGUGCAGCAGGUGGCGAGUUGAGCCCCCACCUCCCCAACCCCAGUGAUUUUCCCUGAAAAGACACCCCAUGCUUUGUUUUGUUGUCUGGCUUAUGUAAACUUGCCUCUUGUUUUAUAGUUGCUUCCCCAGCUUUAAACUAAAGGCUGUUAUUGACAGCCUAUAGUUGCUUCCCCAACGGCCAAUCCCUCCAGCUCCCCUCCUGCUUCCAGGCAAACAACCCCAGUCAUAAGGGCCUGCGAUGUUCCCAGUCCCAGGGAAUGAGUCCUGAUUGGUCUAAGACAGCUAAGACAAUUCUUUUCUACUUUAUCAAAUACAGAUGACCCCUGAACAGCACCAGUUUGAACUGGGGGGUCCACUUAUAUGUGGAGUUUCUCUCUCUGCCACCUCUGGGACAGCAAGACCAAUGCCUCCUCCCCCUCCUCCUCCUGAGCCUACUCACUGUGAGUAGGAUGAAGACCUUUAGGAUGAUCCAUUUCCACUUAAUCAAUAGCAGAUAUAUUUUCUCUUCCUUAUGAGUCUUUUAACAACAUUUUCUUUUCUCUAGCUUAUUUUAUUGUAAGAAUACGGUGUUGAAUGCAUAUAACGUGCAAAUACAUGUUAAUCAACUGUUUAUGUUACGGGUAUGGCUUCUGGCCAACAGUAAGCUAUUAAUAGUUAAGUUUUGGGGAAGUCAAAAGUUAUAUGCAAUUUUUUGACUGCACAGGGAGUCAGCACCCCUCACUCCUCAUUGUUCAGGGUCAACUGUACUUGGUUUCCAAGCCUCCCUUAUAAGUCGGUAUGGCCAUGGGACCCAGUUUUAGAUGUGAGAAGAGAAGAAGGGUUGCAUCUGGGAAGGAUUUCUUUCUGGAUGAAAGAUAGUCUUUUGAGGAGCGGCUCCUUGGUCCCUGCCCUGUCCCUCCUGCUGGAGAUGCUGCAUGCAAGGGCCUGAUGUCUGGAAUUGAAGCAUCCAUGUGGUGACCAUGAGACAAGAAGCAUGACAAUAAAAUUUCACUGGGUGGAAGAAUGAGGAAGUCUGGAUUCUUGAUGAUACUGUUGCCGUCUGAACAUGCCCUGUGACCCUGUACUUCUGGGCAUCUGGUUACAUGAGCAAUAAAUAUUCUUACGGCUAAAACCA
This 4165-nucleotide long non-coding RNA is filed under the name Homo sapiens (human). RNAcentral's name for it is "HSALNT0269611". Lineage: Eukaryota; Metazoa; Chordata; Mammalia; Primates; Hominidae. The record is from RNAcentral.